RNAcentral lists this long non-coding RNA (289 nucleotides) under Mytilus galloprovincialis (Mediterranean mussel). Lineage: Eukaryota; Metazoa; Mollusca; Bivalvia; Mytilida; Mytilidae. The record is from RNAcentral.
GAUCGCUGUCAGAUGGUUAUUCUAGAUUAUAAGUUCUGAGGGUAUUGAACACACUUUUUGGACAUUAGUAAUGAAACUUGAUUUAGUAAUUAUAUUGAUACAUGGGAUUUAUCUGGUCAGUUGUGUUGAAAGAUUUUUCAAUGAAAGGGAGGAAAAUGUUUCGAAUAGAAUAAAAAGAUUAGAUGUUAAAGACGGAGAAUUCACGAACAGAAUAGUUUUCACCACUACGAGAGAAGAUGACCCAAUCGUAUGGUUUAAUCAAAAGUAUCCUCAGUAUGACUAUAUUGGA